AACUGCUCAGUAACACAUGAUCAACUUACCCUAUAGAGAAAAAUAGCCUCGGGAAACUGAGGAUAAUAUUUCAUAGUUGAAUUGGCUUGGAAAAGUUUUUCAGUAAAAGGGAUAAGAAAAAUGGUUCUUAUCUGCUAUAGGAUAGGAUCGUGGACGAUUAUGGUUGUUGGUGAGAUAACGGCUCACCAAGCCGAUAAUCGAUAGGGGCCGUGAGAGCGGGAGCCCCGAGAUGGGUACUGAGACAACGACCCAGGCCUUACGAGGCGCAGCAGGCGCGGAACCUCCGCAAUACACGAAAGUGUGACGGGGUUACCCAAAGUGUUCAAUUCUGAACUGUGGUAGGUGAGUAAUGUUCCCUACUAGAAAGGAGAGGGCAAGGCUGGUGCCAGCCGCCGCGGUAAAACCAGCUCUUCAAGUGGUCGGGAUAAUUAUUGGGCUUAAAGUGUCCGUAGCCGGUUUAGUAAGUUCCUGGUAAAAUCAGGUAGCUUAACUAUCCGUAUGCUAGGAAUACUGCUAUACUAGAGGGCGGGAGAAGUCUGAGGUACUACAGGGGUAGGGGUGAAAUCUUAUAAUC
This 574-nucleotide ribosomal RNA is filed under the name uncultured archaeon. RNAcentral describes it as "bacterial SSU rRNA". It matches the Rfam family "Archaeal small subunit ribosomal RNA", at positions 83 to 647 of the family's 1478-position model. The record is from RNAcentral.